AGAGUAGCUCCAGUGGCGCAAUCGGUUAGCGCGCGGUACUUAUAAGGCAGUACAUCUGUGAGCGAUGCCGAGGUUGUGAGUUCGAGCCUCACCUGGAGCAGUUUUUCUGCUCCCU
Molecule: microRNA precursor, 115 nt
Organism: Loxodonta africana (African savanna elephant)
Lineage: Eukaryota; Metazoa; Chordata; Mammalia; Proboscidea; Elephantidae
Source: Ensembl